AGAGUUUGAUCAUGGCUCAGGAUGAACGCUGGCGGCGUGCCUAACACAUGCAAGUCGAACGAAGCAUUUACGGAUGAACCCUUCGGGGCGAUUUUGUUUAUGACUGAGUGGCGGACGGGUGAGUAACGCGUGGGGAACCUGCCUCUGCCAGGGGGAUAACAGUUAGAAAUGACUGCUAAUACCGCAUAAGCGCACGGAACCGCAUGGUUCGGUGUGAAAAGCCGAGACGGACAGAGAUGGACCCGCGUCUGAUUAGGUAGUUGGUGAGGUAACGGCCCACCAAGCCGACGAUCAGUAGCCGACCUGAGAGGGUGACCGGCCACAUUGGGACUGAGACACGGCCCAAACUCCUACGGGAGGCAGCAGUGGGGAAUAUUGCACAAUGGGGGAAACCCUGAUGCAGCGACGCCGCGUGAAGGAAGAAGUAUUUCGGUACGUAAACUUCUAUCAGCAGGGAAGAAAAUGACGGUACCUGAGUAAGAAGCUCCGGCUAAAUACGUGCCAGCAGCCGCGGUAAUACGUAUGGAGCAAGCGUUAUCCGGAUUUACUGGGUGUAAAGGGAGCGUAGGCGGCGAUGCAAGUCAGAGGUGAAAGCCCGGGGCUCAACUCCGGGACUGCCUUUGAAACUGUAUGGCUGGAUUGCAGGAGAGGUAAGUGGAAUUCCUAGUGUAGCGGUGAAAUGCGUAGAUAUUAGGAGGAACACCAGUGGCGAAGGCGGCUUACUGGACUGUAAAUGACGCUGAGGCUCGAAAGCGUGGGAG
This 761-nucleotide ribosomal RNA is filed under the name uncultured bacterium. RNAcentral describes it as "bacterial SSU rRNA". It matches the Rfam family "Bacterial small subunit ribosomal RNA", at positions 8 to 767 of the family's 1533-position model. The record is from RNAcentral.